GACGAACGCUGGCGGCGUGCUUAACACAUGCAAGUCGAACGGAAAGGCCCUGCUUUUGUGGGGUGCUCGAGUGGCGAACGGGUGAGUAACCCGUGAGUAACCUGCCCUUGACUUUGGGAUAACUUCAGGAAACUGGGGCUAAUACCGGAUAGGAGCUCCUGCUGCAUGGUGGGGGUUGGAAAGUUUCGGCGGUUGGGGAUGGACCCGCGGCUUAUCAGCUUGUUGGUGGGGUAGUGGCUUACCAAGGCUUUGACGGGUAGCCGGCCUGAGAGGGUGACCGGCCACAUGGGGACUGAGAUACGGCCCAGACUCCUACGGGAGGCAGCAGUGGGGAAUAUUGCACAAUGGGCGGAAGCCUGAUGCAGCAACGCCGCGUGCGGGAUGACGGCCUUCGGGUUGUAAACCGCUUUCGCCUGUGACGAAGCGUGAGUGACGGUAAUGGGUAAAGAAGCACCGGCUAACUACGUG
Molecule: ribosomal RNA, 468 nt
Filed under: uncultured bacterium
Lineage: Bacteria
Description: partial 16S ribosomal RNA
Rfam family: Bacterial small subunit ribosomal RNA
Source: RNAcentral